RNAcentral lists this ribosomal RNA (431 nucleotides) under uncultured bacterium. RNAcentral's name for it is "partial 16S ribosomal RNA". It matches the Rfam family "Bacterial small subunit ribosomal RNA", at positions 29 to 506 of the family's 1533-position model. The record is from RNAcentral.
ACGAACGCUGGCGGCAGGCCUCACACAUGCAAGUCGCGCGGACCCUUCGGGGUUAGCGGCGGACGGGUGAGUAACGCGUGGGAAUAUGCCCUUCUCUACGGAAUAGUCCUGGGAAACUGGGGGUAAUACCGUUUACGCCCUUUGGGGGAAAGAUUUAUCGGGGAAGGAUUAGCCCGCGUUGGAUUAGGUAGUUGGUGGGGUAAUGGCCUACCAAGCCGACGAUCCAUAGCUGGUUUGAGAGGAUGAUCAGCCACACUGGGACUGAGACACGGCCCAGACUCCUACGGGAGGCAGCAGUGGGGAAUCUUAGACAAUGGGGGCAACCCUGAUCUAGCCAUGCCGCGUGAGUGAUGAAGGCCUUAGGGUUGUAAAGCUCUUCCAGCUGGGAAGAUAAUGACGGUACCAGCAGAAGAAGCCCCGGCUAACUCCGU